GCAUAUCAAUAAGCGGAGGAAAAGAAACUAACAAGGAUUCCCCUAGUAACUGCGAGUGAAGCGGGAAAAGCUCAAAUUUAAAAUCUGGUGGCCUCGCCGCCCGAGUUGUAAUCUGGAGAAGUGCUUUCCGUGCCGGACCGUGUACAAGUCUCUUGGAACAGAGCGUCAUAGAGGGUGAGAAUCCCGUCUUUGACACGGACUGCCGGUGCUUUGUGAUGCGCUCUCGAAGAGUCGAGUUGUUUGGGAAUGCAGCUCAAAAUGGGUGGUAAAUUCCAUCUAAAGCUAAAUAUUGGCGAGAGACCGAUAGCGAACAAGUACCGUGAGGGAAAGAUGAAAAGAACUUUGGAAAGAGAGUUAAACAGUACGUGAAAUUGCUGAAAGGGAAACGCUUGAAGUCAGUCGCGUUGGCCGGGACUCAGCCUUGCUCUCGCUUGGUGUAUUUUCUGGUCGACGGGUCAGCAUCAGUUUUGAUCGCCGGAGAAUGGCCAGGGGAAUGUGGCAUCUUCGGAUGUGUUAUAGCCCUUGGUCGCAUACGGUGGUCGGGACUGAGGAUCUCGGCACCUCGUGCUAAGGAUGCUGGCAUAAUGGCUUUAAACGACCCGUCUUGAAACACGGACCAAGGAGUCUAACAUGCAUGCGAGUGUUUGGGUGGAAAACCCGAGCGCGUAAUGAAAGUGAAAGUUGAGACCCCUGUCGUGGGGGGCAUCGACGCCCGGACCUGACCUUUGGUGACGGCUCUGCGGUAGAGCAUGUAUGUUGGGACCCGAAAGAUGGUGAACUAUGCCUGAAUAGGGUGAAGCCAGAGGAAACUCUGGUGGAGGCUCGUAGCGAUUCUGACGUGCAAAUCGAUCGUCAAAUUUGGGUAUAGGGGCGAAAGACUAAUCGAACCAUCUAGUAGCUGGUUCCUGCCGA
RNAcentral lists this ribosomal RNA (912 nucleotides) under Fuscopostia fragilis. RNAcentral's name for it is "partial large subunit ribosomal RNA". It matches the Rfam family "Eukaryotic large subunit ribosomal RNA", at positions 38 to 964 of the family's 3401-position model. The record is from RNAcentral. Lineage: Eukaryota; Fungi; Basidiomycota; Agaricomycetes; Polyporales; Fomitopsidaceae.